UACGAAGGGGGCUAGCGUUGUUCGGAAUUACUGGGCGUAAAGCGCACGUAGGCGGACUAUUAAGUCAGGGGUGAAAUCUCGGGGCUCAACCCCGGAACUGCCUUUGAUACUGGUAGUCUCGAGUCCGGAAGAGGUGAGUGGAAUUCCGAGUGUAGAGGUGAAAUUCGUAGAUAUUCGGAGGAACACCAGUGGCGAAGGCGGCUCACUGGCCCAUUACUGACGCUGAGGCACGAAAGCGUGGGGAGCAAACAGG
RNAcentral lists this ribosomal RNA (253 nucleotides) under uncultured bacterium. RNAcentral's name for it is "partial 16S ribosomal RNA". It matches the Rfam family "Bacterial small subunit ribosomal RNA", at positions 524 to 776 of the family's 1533-position model. The record is from RNAcentral.